AUUGAACGCUGGCGGCAUGCCUACACAUGCAAGUCGAACGGUAACGGGUCUUCGGAUGCUGACGAGUGGCGAACGGGUGAGUAAUGCAUCGGAACGUGCCCAGUUGUGGGGGAUAACUGCUCGAAAGAGCAGCUAAUACCGCAUACGACCUGAGGGUGAAAGCGGGGGAUCGCAAGACCUCGCGCAAUUGGAGCGGCCGAUGUCAGAUUAGGUAGUUGGUGGGGUAAAGGCCUACCAAGCCGACGAUCUGUAGUUGGUCUGAGAGGACGACCAGCCACACUGGGACUGAGACACGGCCCAGACUCCUACGGGAGGCAGCAGUGGGGAAUUUUGGACAAUGGGCGCAAGCCUGAUCCAGCAAUGCCGCGUGCAGGAAGAAGGCCUUCGGGUUGUAAACUGCUUUUGUCAGGGAAGAAAUCCUCUGGGUUAAUACCCCGGGGGGAUGACGGUACCUGAAGAAUAAGCACCGGCUAACUACGUGCCAGCCGCCGCCGUAA
This 497-nucleotide ribosomal RNA is filed under the name uncultured bacterium. Its description in RNAcentral is "partial 16S ribosomal RNA". It matches the Rfam family "Bacterial small subunit ribosomal RNA", at positions 30 to 523 of the family's 1533-position model. The record is from RNAcentral.